Molecule: ribosomal RNA, 253 nt
Filed under: uncultured bacterium
Lineage: Bacteria
Description: partial 16S ribosomal RNA
Rfam family: Bacterial small subunit ribosomal RNA
Source: RNAcentral
UACAGGGGGUGCAAACGUUGCUCGGAAUCAUUGGGCGUAAAGAGCUCGUAGGCGGUUUGUCACGUCGGAUGUGAAACCCUGAGGCUCAACCUCAGGCCUGCAUUCGAUACGGGCAGACUAGAAUUCGGCAGGGGAGACUGGAAUUCCUGGUGUAGCGGUGAAAUGCGCAGAUAUCAGGAGGAACACCGGUGGCGAAGGCGGGUCUCUGGGCCGCAACUGACACUCAUGGACGAAAGCUAGGGGAGCGAAUGGG